AUAUAUAUAUAUAUGAAUAGGGUGUAAUAUAUAAAAUAUAUCCUUAUGUGCUAAUAUAUAUGUGAUCUGUAUUAUACAUAUACAUGUGCUAGAGAGGGAGAGGUAUUAGGGAAUUUGUUUAUGUGAUGUGGAGGGAGGCAAGUUAAAAAUCUGUAGGAUGGGCGGGGGUGGGGGCAGGCAGGAGACCUAGAGAAGAGUCAGUGCUGCAGUUUAAGUUCGAAGGUGAUCUCCUGACAACAUUCAUUCUUCCAGGGGAGAGGUGUCCUCGUCUUCUUUUAAGGCCUUCAACUGACUAAAGGAGGCCCACCCUAUAGUAUGGAGGAUAAUCUGCUUUACUCAACUCUGCUGAUGUAGAUGUUAAUCUCAUCUAAAAAUACCUUCAUAGAAACAGCUAGAAUAACGUUUGGUCAAAUAUUUGAAUAUCAUGACAUAGUCCAAUUGACUCAUAAAAUUAAUUGUUGCGACUACAAUAUAGACUACAUACUCUCCCCUUAGAAACAAAAUCAUGUACGUUUUGCCAUAUUGUUUCAUCUCGCCACCUCCCCCUUUUUUUUCUUAAGAUUUUAUUUAUUUUUUUGACAGAGACACAGUGAGAGGGAACACAAGCAAGGGAGAGAGGGAGAAGGAGAAGCAGGCUUCCCACCAAGCAGGGAGCCCGAUGCGGGACUCGAUCCCAGGACCCUGGGAUCAUGACCUGAGUGGAAGGCAGAGGCGUAACGACUGAGCCGCCCACGUGCCCUCUACCCGCCUCCCCGUCUACACACGCACAGUUUUUAUCUAAAAUAUUUGAAAGGUGAUUGCUAUAGACGGAAUGUGUCCUCCGCAAAUUCAUAUGUUGUCAUCCUAACCCCCAGUAUCAUGUCAUUAGGAGAUGAGGACUUCGGGAAGGAUUCAGUCCUGAUGGUGGAAUCCUCACGAGUGGGAUUAAUGUCUUCAAAAAAAGAGAUCCCAGAAGUUCCUUUGUCCAUUUGAGGACACACCUACAAUCCAGGAAGAGGGUUUGUACCAGACACUGAAUCUGCUGUCACCUUGAUCUCAAACCUCUCCAGAACUGUGAGAAAAAAAUGUUGUUUCAGCCACCCCAUCUAUGGUAUUUUUGUUACAGCAACCUGAAUGCACUAAGACAGGGUGUUUACAAACCAAGCUUUGGGCAUCUUGAAGCAUCUUAGCAUUUAAUAUAUGCAAGAGAAUGCUCAUAUUUAUAUAUAUAUAUUUGAGAUUUGGGUCAUUUUUCUAAAGUAGCUUUGGGUGAGUUAAUGUAGAUUUCUUGCCUUUAUUUCUGUCGACCUUAUUUAAAACAACUCCUCCCCAUCACUCUCUGUGCCCUAAACCAGAUUUAUCUGCUAUUGUAGUAUAUAUUACUUUGUUGAUUUAUUCCAUUGUCUAUCUCUCCAACUAAAGGAAGGACUUUAUCUUGUUCACUACUGUAUUUCCAGGGCCCAGAACAAUAUCUGGCAUAUGGCAGAACUUAGUAAAUAUUGCUUGAACGAAUAAAUAAAUGAGCAAGCCUCGCCUCUAUUGA
This is a long non-coding RNA of Mustela lutreola (European mink), 1522 nucleotides long. RefSeq lists it as uncharacterized. The transcript is spliced from 2 exons. Lineage: Eukaryota; Metazoa; Chordata; Mammalia; Carnivora; Mustelidae. The record is from RefSeq and is a predicted model, not a curated record.